This 277-nucleotide unclassified non-coding RNA is filed under the name uncultured Ascomycota. RNAcentral describes it as "sequence contains ITS2". Lineage: Eukaryota; Fungi; Ascomycota. The record is from RNAcentral.
AACGCACAUUGCGCCCCCUGGCAUUCCUAGGGGCAUGCCUGUUCGAGCGUCAUUAACAACCAUCAAGCGGGGUUUGUCGGCCUCGCUUGGUCAUGGGGGAUGGCCGCCCUCGGGCGUCCACCCCCGAAAUGCAACGGCGGACGGCCACCAGUGGCACCGGUGCGUAGUAAGUUAUUCUCUCGCCCGCACCCACGGAUUGGACUGUCCGGCCGCUUGAACCCCCCCCCAACAUCCAAUGGUUGACCUCGGAUCAGGUAGGGAUACCCGCUGAACUUAA